This 300-nucleotide unclassified non-coding RNA is filed under the name Hevea brasiliensis (rubber tree). Lineage: Eukaryota; Viridiplantae; Streptophyta; Magnoliopsida; Malpighiales; Euphorbiaceae. The record is from RNAcentral.
GGAAGCUAUGAAAGACGAUGAUUACAGUGGCUACACAAUGUAUUUAUGGGAAUUUUGAUCAGCAAACUCAGCUCGUUAUGUACUUCUGCAGAAUCCAAGUAUCCCCAUUUAGACUGUGAUUCUAUAUUUUCAGAUUUUCACAAGGUACUGUAGAGUCCAAAAUUCAAAGCAUAUUGGUGCUUAUACGAGCGAUUCUCUGAGCUUCUUCAAGGUCCUUCAAGAAUCUUUUAGAAUUUAGAAGGGAAGAACCACCAAGUAUAAAACGAAUGCCAGAGUUCGUAGAGUUCUGUAGAGCAACCG